AUGAACGCUAGCGACAGGCCUAACACAUGCAAGUCGAGGGGCAGCACAAGGAGCAAUCUGAGGUGGCGACCGGCGCACGGGUGAGUAACACGUAUGCAACCUGCCUGUAAGCGGGGAAUAAACCCGUUGAAAGACGGACUAAUACCGCAUAAUACUAAAUUACUGCAUGGUAAUUUAUUUAAACAUUUAUGGCUUACAGAUGGGCAUGCGCAUGAUUAGCUAGUUGGAGAGGUAACGGCUCCCCAAGGCAACGAUCAUUAGGGGUUCUGAGAGGAAGGUCCCCCACACUGGUACUGAGACACGGACCAGACUCCUACGGGAGGCAGCAGUGAGGAAUAUUGGUCAAUGGACGAGAGUCUGAACCAGCCAAGUCGCGUGCAGGAAGAAUGUUCCCUAUGGAUUGUAAACUGCUUUUGCAGGGGAAUAAAGUGCAUCACGUGUGAUGUUUUGUAUGUACUCUGCGAAUAAGGAUCGGCUAACUCCGUGCCAGCCGCGGC
RNAcentral lists this ribosomal RNA (497 nucleotides) under uncultured bacterium. RNAcentral describes it as "bacterial SSU rRNA". It matches the Rfam family "Bacterial small subunit ribosomal RNA", at positions 29 to 518 of the family's 1533-position model. The record is from RNAcentral.